CUCUCUGUAGCUCAGUUGGUUAGAGCGCUGCACCGGAAGGAACCGUAGGUUUGAUUCCUGCCAGAGGGC
Molecule: non-coding RNA, 69 nt
Organism: Paramuricea clavata
Lineage: Eukaryota; Metazoa; Cnidaria; Anthozoa; Malacalcyonacea; Plexauridae
Source: the annotation of a GenBank genome assembly